GGGAAGGGAAGGCCAUGCUGCAUUUGUUUGAGCAUGUGACAGUGACGCAAGUGCAGCACAAAGUGUGUUGAGGCGAGAUAAUGUCAGCGGUGUGGGCGUUUUUUCAGGGUGUCGAUAGAAGAUACGCGAAAAGCAUUAUGCAACACUUGCAAAGUCGAGGUAGUUUGUAUUCAAUGUAGAAAAUGAAGUAUGUAGGUGUUCACAGAUUUAGAAGUUGUUGGUAAAAACUUUAUAGUUAUUAUAAUUUAAUUUGUUUACAGGUGAAGUGUGUGUGUGUGUUAAAAUGAAAGGUUUCAUCAAACCUGUUAUGUAAAUAUGUCACCCUUUAUGUACUUUGGCUUGUUAAACGUUUCAACAUCUCAACAGAAGUGAAUUAUAGUUUUUAUGUGUUGCACAAGUUUAUGUGCAUGUUUGUUUUAUUUAAAAUAAAAUAAAAAGAAGCUUAUGUAAAUUUUGGGCUUUAACUUGUUUUUCAUUCAUGGUUUCCACCAGAAUUAAUAUCUCCUAUUUCUGGGUUCCGUAAUUAACAUUUGUCUCUCGUCUUUUCAGGUUGAGCUUCCCAGUCGGUGGCGGUGAGUCAAUGAUGGCGGUGACGUACCAAAGCUGAAAAAAACUGGCCCCGAGACCCUCCUGUGGAGGAUAAAGUGGUAGAAGAUGGAUGGUGACCUUCAGGGUGAAUCAUCUCUGGUCCCCUGUGAAUGGCUCCUCAUCACACACUUGCAAUAAUUUCAGGCCCAGCAACCCUCCUGUGGUAGAAAAUGGAUGGUGACCUUCAGGGUGAAUCAUCCCCACCCCGUGAAUGGCGCCUCAUCACACACUUGCUAUAAUUUCAGGCCGCGCAACCCUCCUGUGGUAGAAAAUGGAUGGUGACCUUCAGAGUGAAUCAUCCCCACCCCGUGAUUGGCGCCUCAUCACACACUUGCUAUAAUUUCAGGUUGACGUGCAGACGUACCAUUCCAGAGAACCACACCUUCUAAGCUGUGUCGACUUUUUUUUAAUCGCAUAAUAAAAUUUAUAAAUUGUG
This is a long non-coding RNA of Solea senegalensis (Senegalese sole), 1024 nucleotides long. RefSeq lists it as uncharacterized. NCBI's taxonomy places the organism in Eukaryota, Metazoa, Chordata, Actinopteri, Pleuronectiformes, Soleidae. The transcript is spliced from 5 exons. The record is from RefSeq and is a predicted model, not a curated record.